UGAUUCAUUGCAUCUUUUUAAUCAGGGAAAUCACAGUUGAGAGAGUUCUAAGAGAAGAGAAACGUGAGAUCUCUGUUUUUCUUUCUCCACUGCGUUUCCUUGGUUAAAGAUAUGUGCUGGAUCA
This is a non-coding RNA of Cajanus cajan (pigeon pea), 124 nucleotides long. The record is from Rfam. NCBI's taxonomy places the organism in Eukaryota, Viridiplantae, Streptophyta, Magnoliopsida, Fabales, Fabaceae.